GGCUUUGUGGCGGAAUGGUAGACGCGCUUGAUUCAAAAUCAAGUAUCUUCGGGUGUGAGGGUUCAAGUCCCUCCGAAGCCACCA
RNAcentral lists this transfer RNA (84 nucleotides) under Halobacteriovoraceae bacterium. RNAcentral's name for it is "tRNA-Leu". It matches the Rfam family "tRNA". Rfam says of the family: Transfer RNA (tRNA) molecules are approximately 80 nucleotides in length. Their secondary structure includes four short double-helical elements and three loops (D, anti-codon, and T loops). The record is from RNAcentral. Lineage: Bacteria; Pseudomonadati; Bdellovibrionota; Bacteriovoracia; Bacteriovoracales; Halobacteriovoraceae.